RNAcentral lists this transfer RNA (74 nucleotides) under Photobacterium profundum SS9. It matches the Rfam family "tRNA". From Rfam's summary of the family: Transfer RNA (tRNA) molecules are approximately 80 nucleotides in length. Their secondary structure includes four short double-helical elements and three loops (D, anti-codon, and T loops). Lineage: Bacteria; Pseudomonadati; Pseudomonadota; Gammaproteobacteria; Vibrionales; Vibrionaceae. The record is from Rfam by way of RNAcentral. RNAcentral also lists the same sequence under 1 other name.
GCGCCCUUAGCUCAGCUGGAUAGAGCACGUCCCUUCUAAGGAUGUGGUCGCAGGUUCGAAUCCUGCAGGGCGCA